CUUGUUUUAUAGAUAAAGAUUUUAUAAAAAAAUAAGAAUUAUCAUUAGUCAAGAAAGCUAAAUCUAUAUAUAUAGAAGUCAUAAAUAAUUAUUUUUUUGUCUUUAAGAGAUAUUAUCCAUGAGAUUAUUCCUUCAAGUAUAGAAAUUAAAGACCAUGAUAGUGUAAUAAUAUUUAAUGCAAUAAGAUCUUUUAGGAUUAUCAUGGUUAAAAAAAUAUAAUCCUUAGAUAGAUUGGAUUUUUUUUAACCUUGAUUUUUCUUGUAAUUUAAUCCAAAGUUUAAUUAGUCAAGUAAAAAUGUAUAAGUUUAGUACAUCCAAAUUCCUAGUAGUAGGUGGAAGAACUUUUAUGCAUGCAAUAAUAAAAGAAUCAUCUUUUGCUAUAUAAACCAUGCCC
RNAcentral lists this long non-coding RNA (394 nucleotides) under Physcomitrium patens. RNAcentral's name for it is "long non-coding RNA (PPAT_LNC014041)". The record is from RNAcentral. Lineage: Eukaryota; Viridiplantae; Streptophyta; Bryopsida; Funariales; Funariaceae.